This 502-nucleotide unclassified non-coding RNA is filed under the name uncultured Acaulospora. RNAcentral's name for it is "SSU rRNA". It matches the Rfam family "Eukaryotic small subunit ribosomal RNA", at positions 591 to 1092 of the family's 1831-position model. The record is from RNAcentral. Lineage: Eukaryota; Fungi; Glomeromycota; Glomeromycetes; Diversisporales; Acaulosporaceae.
CCAAUAGCGUAUAUUAAAGUUGUUGCAGUUAAAAAGCUCGUAGUUGAAUUUCGGGGUUCAUACGUUGGUCGGGCUUUUUGGUCUGUACUAGCGUAAUGGAUUCCUACCUUCUGAAUAACCGGCAUGCCAUUAAUUUGGUGCGCCGGGGAAGCAGGACUGUUACCUUGAAAAAAUUAGAGUGCUUAAAGCAGGCUAUCGCCUGAAUACAUUAGCAUGGAAUAAUGAAAUAGGACGGCAUGGUUCUAUUUUGUUGGUUUCUAGGAUCACCGUAAUGAUUAAUAGGGAUAGUUGGGGGCAUUAGUAUUCAAUUGGCAGAGGUGAAAUUCUUGGAUUUAUUGAAGACUAACUUCUGCGAAAGCAUUUGCCAAGGAUGUUUUCAUUAAUCAAGAACGAAAGUUAGGGGAUCGAAGACGAUCAGAUACCGUCGUAGUCUUAACCAUAAACUAUGCCGACUAGGGAUCGGACGAUGUUAAUUUUUUAAUGACUCGUUCGGCGCCUUACG